CUCUGAUUCUCUCCCAGAAAACUAAAAAACAAAAAAAGAAUGAGAGGAAAAAUAGUAUGACAUUUGAAAUUUGGAUUGGAUAGUUCUAAAUAAGCUGCCCAAGUACUUUCUUAGAUCUUAUUUAUCUAUUAUAUGCUUUCUUAUACAGCACUAGAAGACUAGAGAUUAUCACCUCCAAUGGCUGCUAGGCUUGUUGACUGCUGCUAGUGAUAGAACUUAUCCAGGGCUGCCAGUAUUGCCCAAUGACCACCAAAGUUGUCAACAACCAUGAGUCACCUUUUUACCCUCUUUAUUUAUUUAUUUUUCCUUUCUUUUUCUUUUUUUCUUUUGAAAGACUUAUGUAGAUAUCUAGAUCUCUUAUGAGAUGUAGCACCAAACAUAGGAUAAGAUGAGGCGGACCCUGUCCUGUACUAUCCUAUCCCCUGUCGUGCUAAAUAAACAGGGUUUUAUUUUGUUAUCUGUACUAUAUUUACUCAAGAAACCUUUUCAUGCUUAUCUUUUAUGUAUGCACAUGCAUAAUUGGCCAGAUGCAUGAAAUUUGAGGAUUUUAUGGAGGUGAAAUGCACUUAGGAAAAAGUCUCUCCCCUCAAUUUUGUCUUGACCUAAAUUGGAGCUUGGAAUAAUACUCAAUAAUGGAGCAGUACAUCCUUUCAGAGUGUUCUGCACUAUUGGGCCAGCACCUUUGUGUUUGUCAUCUUUUCCAUGCUUUUCAUGCCAUGAUGAAAGAUAGCUGUAAAUUUGGGCUUGUAAUCUCAAUUUCGUAGCAAGUAAUGGAACAUGUGUACAGGGUGCAAUGCUUACUCUAAUAUCGUUGAGGUGACAGAUUCAGUUUGUAUGCUAUUGGUCCAAAAUUAUGUCGGUGCUUAAAAUCGUCAACAUUGGCUUGAGCAAGUGCCAGGUUUUAUUUCAUACAUUUGAUUUCCUGUUCAUUAUUCAACUUAAGGGUGGUUUUGGCUUUUCAUGGAUUUUAAGAAUCUAUUUAUCUUCCAGAUGAGAAGUUGCGUGUUCAUAGAAGCGAUGAUUGUUAAGUAGCUUUGUUGGCAUUGUUGUUGAAUUAGCAGCCUAUUUUAACCUCUAUGGCUGUGGUAAUUUCUUUCUGUUGCAUUUUCUGAACAUUCCACUCGUUUCUUUCUGUUCUCAUUUGAGUUAGAGCAAGGUGCUGUGAGUCAUGGAAUGUUAUAACCAGAUGUCUAAUGGAUUCUAGUCUGACUUCCAGGUCUUCUGUCAUUCUUCAAGUUGAAGCUUGCUUGUCAUUCUACGCCUUAAGCUUUCUCAUUCUUCAAGUUGGCAUAUGGUAAAGCUUGGAGAUAUGGCACCAUUUUGAAUUCACUGAUUGAUAACACCAGUUUAAGAAAAUAGUGGAGAGCAUCAUUGUUAGCCUUCAGUUUCCUUCAUUAAUUAUCAGAACAGUUUGCUGAAAACUAUAAUACUUUCUAGCUUAGCAGACCAAUCUCCAGAAUUUGGUUCAAGGGAAAUUAGAAUCA
Molecule: unclassified non-coding RNA, 1484 nt
Filed under: Hevea brasiliensis (rubber tree)
Lineage: Eukaryota; Viridiplantae; Streptophyta; Magnoliopsida; Malpighiales; Euphorbiaceae
Source: RNAcentral